This is a long non-coding RNA of Gavialis gangeticus (Gharial), 213 nucleotides long. RefSeq lists it as uncharacterized. The transcript is spliced from 3 exons. The record is from RefSeq and is a predicted model, not a curated record. Lineage: Eukaryota; Metazoa; Chordata; Crocodylia; Gavialidae.
GAAAGAUGGAAGUAGCUGUGGCUUUUGUCAGCGAGAUAAUUAUCUGACUUGCUAUCAUUCCUCCAAAGUUUUUUCCCAUAUACUUACAGAUUUGUUUCAUCCUGUUUGGAAAUUAAGAGGCACCAGAGUUAUAAUUGAAAGGAGAGAAAACACAGACAUAGCAACCAUGAAUGGCAAACAAGACAAGAAGCAAGCAACAAGAAAAAAACAUAA